Chelonoidis abingdonii (Abingdon island giant tortoise) is the source of this 215-nucleotide small nucleolar RNA. RefSeq annotates it as small nucleolar RNA U3. Lineage: Eukaryota; Metazoa; Chordata; Testudines; Testudinidae. The record is from RefSeq and is a predicted model, not a curated record.
AAAACUAUACUUUCAGGAAUCAUUUUUCUGGUUGGUGACUGGAAAAAGGUGGUUGUAAAAAGCCUGGUCUUACUAACUGCAAUGAAGAACUGUAGUGUUUCUUUCUGAGCAUGACAAUAGCUGAAAGUGCUGUUCUGUGGCAGCUCCUUUCUGCUAUAGAAAAGUGUCUUGCUCUUCCUGAGAAGAGCAGGCGAAGGAAACACAGUCUGAGUGGU